RNAcentral lists this ribosomal RNA (297 nucleotides) under uncultured bacterium. RNAcentral's name for it is "partial 16S ribosomal RNA". It matches the Rfam family "Bacterial small subunit ribosomal RNA", at positions 334 to 623 of the family's 1533-position model. The record is from RNAcentral.
GUGUCCUACGGGGGGCAGCAGUAGGGAAACUUCCACAAUGGGAGAAAGCCUGAUGGAGCAACGCCGCGUGGGUGAAGAAGGUCUUCGGAUCGUAAAACCCUGUUGUUAGAGAAGAAAGUGCGUGAGAGUAACUGUUCACGUUUCGACGGUAUCUAACCAGAAAGCCACGGCUAACUACGUGCCAGCAGCCGCGGUAAUACGUAGGUGGCAAGCGUUAUCCGGAUUUAUUGGGCGUAAAGGGAACGCAGGCGGUCUUUUAAGUUUGAUAUGAAACCUUUCGGCUUAACCGGAGUAGUG